This is a long non-coding RNA of Asterias rubens (European starfish), 775 nucleotides long. RefSeq lists it as uncharacterized. The transcript has 3 exons. The record is from RefSeq and is a predicted model, not a curated record. NCBI's taxonomy places the organism in Eukaryota, Metazoa, Echinodermata, Asteroidea, Forcipulatida, Asteriidae.
ACUAUCAGAACUUGUUUAUGUUGUGUUCAGCUAUCAAUUCAUUGUUGUGGUCAUGUUUUUCUCCAAAUACUUUUGCUACAAUUUGACCGAAAAAAUUUGACCUCGAUUCUUCGAUUUUGAAAUUUCCCGCCCUGUACUGGUUCCCGGCUAUUAAACCAACACUGAAAUCCAAGCGGAUUUGUAAACCAGCGGACGUCAUGAACGCGGUCAAAAAAUGGUGACGUAUUACCCAUGAAGCAACGAGAGUAAACAAAGAUUACGCCAUGUUACUCCAUGUGUUGUGUAUGCGUUUUCAUCCACACUACAGGCGUGCGUGUGUGCUACGAAGCUUUUUGUUUCUAGUGUAUCAGCUAUAAAUACUGCCGACUAUUUGGUUGUUUGGGGAUGCACUUGUAGUUUCAAAGUUUGUGUAAGAAGCCUGGAUCGAUUCCGAAAUUUAAACCUCUAAACAUCGAGAGAAUUCAGGGGGAUCUUCUACCACCAGGCCCCAGCCAGUGCUGCUUGUGCAUGCUACGAGUACGACGUCGGCGGGGUCCCUCUGCCGUGGCCCUGGUCGCAAGUGGCCGUGGAACAGCAAAAGAAUCAAGUGGCAUUACAGAAAAGAGAGGGAGAAAAGCCUGAAAUAACUCGCAGCUCUACACUACAAUGAGAAUGCAGGACGAAGACAAUGCAGGACGGAGACAUGCUAGCCAGAACUAGAAAUGGAGACCUAAGAUUCUCAAUAGCACUUUAGAUACGCAAAGAAUGCAUGCACAAUGCACUUGUUCAUUGUCAG